CCUACGGGUGGCAGCAGUAGGGAAUCUUCCACAAUGGGCGAAAGCCUGAUGGAGCAACGCCGCGUGGGUGAAGAAGGUCUUCGGAUCGUAAAACCCUGUUGUUAGAGAAGAAAGUGCGUGAGAGUAACUGUUCACGUUUCGACGGUAUCUAACCAGAAAGCCACGGCUAACUACGUGCCAGCAGCCGCGGUAAUACGUAGGUGGCAAGCGUUAUCCGGAUGGAUUGGGCGUAAAGGGAACGCAGGCGGUCUUUUAAGUCUGAUGUGAAAGCCUUCGGCUUAACCGGAGUAGGGCAUUGGAAACUGGGAGACGUGAGUGCAGAAGAGGAGAGUGGAACUCCAUGUGUAGCGGUGAAAUGCGUAGAUAUAUGGAAGAACACCAGUGGCGAAAGCGGCUCUCUGAUCUGUAACUGACGCUGAGGUUCGAAAGCGUGGGUAGCAAACAGGAUUAGAUACCCGAGUAGUC
This 465-nucleotide ribosomal RNA is filed under the name uncultured bacterium. Its description in RNAcentral is "partial 16S ribosomal RNA". It matches the Rfam family "Bacterial small subunit ribosomal RNA", at positions 338 to 795 of the family's 1533-position model. The record is from RNAcentral.